This 496-nucleotide ribosomal RNA is filed under the name uncultured bacterium. RNAcentral describes it as "partial 16S ribosomal RNA". It matches the Rfam family "Bacterial small subunit ribosomal RNA", at positions 29 to 507 of the family's 1533-position model. The record is from RNAcentral.
AUGAACGCUGGCGGCGUGCCUAAUACAUGCAAGUCGAGCGAACGGACGAGAAGCUUGCUUCUCUGAUGUUAGCGGCGGACGGGUGAGUAACACGUGGAUAACCUACCUAUAAGACUGGGAUAACUUCGGGAAACCGGAGCUAAUACCGGAUAAUAUUUUGAACCGCAUGGUUCAAAAGUGAAAGACGGUCUUGCUGUCACUUAUAGAUGGAUCCGCGCUGCAUUAGCUAGUUGGUAAGGUAACGGCUUACCAAGGCAACGAUGCAUAGCCGACCUGAGAGGAUGAUCAGCCACACUGGAACUGAGACACAGUCAAGACUCCUACGGGAGGCAGCAGUAGGGAAUCUUCGACAAUGGGCGAAAGCCUGACGGAGCAAAGCCGCGUGAGUGAUGAAGGUCUUCGGAUCGUAAAACUCUGUUAUUAGGGAAGAACAUAUGUGUAAGUAACUGUGCACAUCUUGACGGUACCUAAUCAGAAAGCCACGGCUAACUACGUG